RNAcentral lists this ribosomal RNA (505 nucleotides) under uncultured bacterium. Its description in RNAcentral is "partial 16S ribosomal RNA". It matches the Rfam family "Bacterial small subunit ribosomal RNA", at positions 28 to 507 of the family's 1533-position model. The record is from RNAcentral.
GACGAACGCUGGCGGCGUGCCUAAUACAUGCAAGUAGAACGCACAGUUUAUACCGUAGCUUGCUACACCAUAAACUGUGAGUUGCGAACGGGUGAGUAACGCGUAGGUAACCUGCCUGGUAGCGGGGGAUAACUAUUGGAAACGAUAGCUAAUACCGCAUAAUAUUGAUUAUUGCAUGAUAAUUGAUUGAAAGAUGCUAUUGCAUCACUACCAGAUGGACCUGCGUUGUAUUAGCUAGUAGGUGAGGUAACGGCUCACCUAGGCGACGACACAUAGCCGACCUGAGAGGGUGAUCGGCCACACUGGGACUGAGACACGGCCCAGACUCCUAAGGGAGGCAGCAGUAGGGAAUCUUCGGAAAUGGACGAAAGUCUGACCGAGCAACGCCGCGGGAGGGAAGAAGGUUUUCGGAUCGUAAAGCUCUGUUGUAAGAGAAGAACGGGUGUGAGAGUGGAAAGUUCACACUGUGACGGUAGCUUACCAGAAAGGGACGGCUAACUACGUG